RNAcentral lists this ribosomal RNA (513 nucleotides) under uncultured bacterium. RNAcentral's name for it is "partial 16S ribosomal RNA". It matches the Rfam family "Bacterial small subunit ribosomal RNA", at positions 30 to 523 of the family's 1533-position model. The record is from RNAcentral.
AUUGAACGCUGGCGGCGUGCUUAACAUAUGCAAGUCGUGCGAGAAAGGGGACUUCGGUCCCUGAGUAGAGCGGCGCACGGGUGAGUAACGCGUGGAUUAUCUACCCAGAUAUUCGGGAUAACGGCGGGAAACUGCCGCUAAUACCGGAUACGCUCCAAUUUCGGUUGGGGGAAAGUCGGCCUCUGCUUGCAAGCUGUCGUAUCUGGAUGAGUCAGCGUCCCAUUAGCUUGUUGGCGGGGUAAUGGCCCACCAAGGCUACGAUGGGUAGCUGGUCUGAGAGGAUGAUCAGCCACACUGGAACUGAAACACGGUCCAGACUCCUACGGGAGGCAGCAGUGGGGAAUAUUGCGCAAUGGGGGAAACCCUGACGCAGCGACGCCGUGUGAGGGAAGAAGGCUUUCGGGUCGUAAACCUCUGUCGGGAGGGAAGAACCUUCCAGGACUGAACAAGCCCUGGAACUGACGGUACCUCCAAAGGAAGCACCGGCUAACUCCGUGCCAGCAGCCGCAGUAA